CGAAGCCGCGAGGUAGAGCAAAUCUCAAAAAGACAUCUCAGUUCAGAUUGCAGGCUGCAACUCGCCUGCAUGAAGUCGGAAUUGCUAGUAAUCGUAGGUCAGCAUACUACGGUGAAUACGUUCCCGGGCCUUGUACACACCGCCCGUCAAACCAUGAGAGUUGGCAACACCCGAAGUCGGUAGUCUAACCGCAAGGAGGACGCCGCCGAAGGUGGGGUUGAUGAUUAGGGUUAAGUCGUAACAAGGUAUC
RNAcentral lists this ribosomal RNA (250 nucleotides) under uncultured bacterium. RNAcentral's name for it is "partial 16S ribosomal RNA". It matches the Rfam family "Bacterial small subunit ribosomal RNA", at positions 1250 to 1500 of the family's 1533-position model. The record is from RNAcentral.